This 328-nucleotide ribosomal RNA is filed under the name Jeotgalicoccus sp. RNAcentral describes it as "bacterial SSU rRNA". It matches the Rfam family "Bacterial small subunit ribosomal RNA", at positions 460 to 787 of the family's 1533-position model. The record is from RNAcentral. Lineage: Bacteria; Bacillati; Bacillota; Bacilli; Caryophanales; Staphylococcaceae.
GGCCUUGAGAUGACGGUACUUAACCAGAAAGCCACGGCUAACUACGUGCCAGCAGCCGCGCUAAUACGUAGGUGGCAAGCGUUAUCCGGAAUUAUUGGGCGUAAAGCGCGCGUAGGCGGUAAGAUAAGUCUGAUGUGAAAGCCCCCGGCUCAACCGGGGAGGGUCAUUGGAAACUGUUUUACUUGAGUACAGAAGAGGAGAGUGGAAUUCCAUGUGUAGCGGUGAAAUGCGCAGAGAUAUGGAGGAACACCAGUGGCGAAGGCGGCUCUCUGGUCUGUAACUGACGCUGAGGUGCGAAAGCGUGGGGAUCAAACAGGAUUAGAUACCC